GCGGAAACGAGUUGUCUUGAACCUUCGGGGAACGAUAAGGCGUCGAGCGGCGGACGCGUGAGUAAUGCCUGGGAAAUUGCCCUGAUGUGGGCGAUAACCAUUGGAAACGAUGGCUAUUACCGCAUAAUAGCUUCGGCUCAAAGAGGGGGACCUUCGGGCCUCUCGCGUCAGGAUAUGCCCAGGUGGGAUUAGCUAGUUGGUGAGGUAAUGGCUCACCAAGGCGACGAUCCCUAGCUGGUCUGAGAGGAUGAUCAGCCACACUGGAACUGAGACACGGUCCAGACUCCUACGGGAGGCAGCAGUGGGGAAUAUUGCACAAUGGGCGCAAGCCUGAUGCAGCCAUGCCGCGUGUAUGAAGAAGGCCUUCGGGUUGUAAAGUACUUUCAGCAGUGAGGAAGGGGGCUGUGUUAAUAGCGCAUUCCUUUGACGUUAGCUGCAGAAGAAGCACCGGCUAACUCCGUGCCAGCAGCCGCGGUAAUACGGAGGGUGCGAGCGUUAAUCGGAAUUACUGGGCGUAAAGCGCAUGCAGGUGGUUUGUUAAGUCAGAUGUGAAAGCCCGGGGCUCAACCUCGGAAUAGCAUUUGAAACUGGCAGACUAGAGUACUGUAGAGGGGGGUAGAAUUUCAGGUGUAGCGGUGAAAUGCGUAGAGAUCUGAAGGAAUACCCGGUGGCGAAGGCGCCCCCUGGACAGAUACUGACACUCAGAUGCGAAAGCGUGGGGAGCAUACAGGAUUAGAUACCCUGGUAGUCCACGCGGUAAACGAUGUCUACUUGGAGGUUGUGGCCUUGAGCGGUGGCUUUCCGAGCUAACGCGUUAAGUAGACC
This 825-nucleotide ribosomal RNA is filed under the name uncultured bacterium. RNAcentral's name for it is "bacterial SSU rRNA". It matches the Rfam family "Bacterial small subunit ribosomal RNA", at positions 57 to 870 of the family's 1533-position model. The record is from RNAcentral.